RNAcentral lists this ribosomal RNA (253 nucleotides) under uncultured bacterium. Its description in RNAcentral is "partial 16S ribosomal RNA". It matches the Rfam family "Bacterial small subunit ribosomal RNA", at positions 524 to 776 of the family's 1533-position model. The record is from RNAcentral.
UACGUAGGGUGCGAGCGUUAAUCGGAAUUACUGGGCGUAAAGCGUGCGCAGGCGGUUUUGUAAGCCAGAUGUGAAAUCCCCGGGCUUAACCUGGGAAUGGCAUUUGGGACUGCAAGGCUCGAGUGCGGCAGAGGAGACUGGAAUUCCUGGUGUAGCAGUGAAAUGCGUAGAUAUCAGGAGGAACACCGAUGGCGAAGGCAGGUCUCUGAGCUGACACUGACGCUCAUGCACGAAAGCGUGGGGAGCAAACAGG